RNAcentral lists this ribosomal RNA (382 nucleotides) under Streptococcus equi. Its description in RNAcentral is "partial 23S ribosomal RNA". It matches the Rfam family "Bacterial large subunit ribosomal RNA", at positions 2544 to 2925 of the family's 2925-position model. The record is from RNAcentral. Lineage: Bacteria; Bacillati; Bacillota; Bacilli; Lactobacillales; Streptococcaceae.
AUCCUGGGGCUGUAGUCGGUCCCAAGGGUUGGGCUGUUCGCCCAUUAAAGCGGUACGCGAGCUGGGUUCAGAACGUCGUGAGACAGUUCGGUCCCUAUCCGUCGUGGGCGUAGGAAAUUUGAGAGGAGCUGUCCUUAGUACGAGAGGACCGGGAUGGACAUACCUCUGGUGUACCAGUUGUCGUGCCAACGGCAUAGCUGGGUAGCUAUGUAUGGACGGGAUAAGUGCUGAAAGCAUCUAAGCAUGAAGCCCCCCUCAAGAUGAGAUUUCCCAACUUCGGUUAUAAGAUCCCUCAAAGAUGAUGAGGUUAAUAGGUUCGAGGUGGAAGCGUGGUGACACGUGGAGCUGACGAAUACUAAUCGAUCGAAGACUUAAUCAAUUU